CCAAUGGCUUUUCUUUCUUUGUUUAUUGCCUGUGACUUAUGAGGUAAAGCCACCAAUGGAUUCAUAAAGAUGAGUU
Non-coding RNA from Amborella trichopoda, 76 nucleotides. Lineage: Eukaryota; Viridiplantae; Streptophyta; Magnoliopsida; Amborellales; Amborellaceae. The record is from Rfam.